UACGUAGGGUGCGAGCGUUGUCCGGAAUUAUUGGGCGUAAAGAGCUUGUAGGCGGUUUGUCGCGUCUGCUGUGAAAAUCCGGGGCUCAACCCCGGACUUGCAGUGGGUACGGGCAGACUAGAGUGUGGUAGGGGAGACUGGAAUUCCUGGUGUAGCGGUGAAAUGCGCAGAUAUCAGGAAGAACACCUAUGGCGAAGGCAGCACUCUGGGACGGUACUGACGCUGAGACGCGAAAGCGUGGGGAGCAAACAGG
RNAcentral lists this ribosomal RNA (253 nucleotides) under uncultured bacterium. RNAcentral describes it as "partial 16S ribosomal RNA". It matches the Rfam family "Bacterial small subunit ribosomal RNA", at positions 524 to 776 of the family's 1533-position model. The record is from RNAcentral.